AGCUGUGGAUCGGCAUCAGGAC
This 22-nucleotide microRNA is filed under the name Monodelphis domestica (gray short-tailed opossum). Its description in RNAcentral is "mdo-miR-7335-5p". The record is from miRBase by way of RNAcentral. Lineage: Eukaryota; Metazoa; Chordata; Mammalia; Didelphimorphia; Didelphidae.